CCCCGGAGCGGGGGAUAACAUUUGGAAACAGAUGCUAAUACCGCAUAACAACAAAAGCCACAUGGCUUUUGUUUGAAAGAUGGCUUUGGCUAUCACUCUGGGAUGGACCUGCGGUGCAUUAGCUAGUUGGUAAGGUAACGGCUUACCAAGGCGAUGAUGCAUAGCCGAGUUGAGAGACUGAUCGGCCACAAUGGAACUGAGACACGGUCCAUACUCCUACGGGAGGCAGCAGUAGGGAAUCUUCCACAAUGGGCGCAAGCCUGAUGGAGCAACACCGCGUGAGUGAAGAAGGGUUUCGGCUCGUAAAGCUCUGUUGUUGGAGAAGAACGUGCGUGAGAGUAACUGUUCACGCAGUGACGGUAUCCAACCAGAAAGUCACGGCUAACUACGUGCCAGCAGCCGCGGUAAUACGUAGGUGGCAAGCGUUAUCCGGAUUUAUUGGGCGUAAAGCGAGCGCAGGCGGUUGCUUAGGUCUGAUGUGAAAGCCUUCGGCUUAACCGAAGAAGUGCAUCGGAAACCGGGCGACUUGAGUGCAGAAGAGGACAGUGGAACUCCAUGUGUAGCGGUGGAAUGCGUAGAUAUAUGGAA
This 588-nucleotide ribosomal RNA is filed under the name Limosilactobacillus reuteri. RNAcentral describes it as "bacterial SSU rRNA". It matches the Rfam family "Bacterial small subunit ribosomal RNA", at positions 129 to 703 of the family's 1533-position model. The record is from RNAcentral. Lineage: Bacteria; Bacillati; Bacillota; Bacilli; Lactobacillales; Lactobacillaceae.